This 460-nucleotide ribosomal RNA is filed under the name uncultured bacterium. RNAcentral describes it as "partial 16S ribosomal RNA". It matches the Rfam family "Bacterial small subunit ribosomal RNA", at positions 338 to 795 of the family's 1533-position model. The record is from RNAcentral.
CCUACGGGAGUCUGCAGUGAGGAAUAUUGGUCAAUGGACGCAAGUCUGAACCAGCCAUGCCGCGUGCAGGACGACGGCUCUAUGAGUUGUAAACUGCUUUUGUACGAGGGUAAACGCAGAUACGCGUAUCUGUCUGAAAGUAUCGUACGAAUAAGGAUCGGCUAACUCCGUGCCAGCCGCCGCGGUAAUACGGAGGAUUCAAGCGUUAUCCGGAUUUAGUGGGUUUAAAGGGUGCGUAGGCGGUCGGAUAAGUUAGAGGUGAAAUCCCGAGGCUCAACUUCGGAAUUGCCUCUGAUACUGUUCGGCUAGAGAGUAGUUGCGGUAGGCGGAAUGUAUGGUGUAGCGGUGAAAUGCUUAGAGAUCAUACAGAACACCGAUUGCGAAGGCAGCUUACCAAGCUACUUCUGACGUUGAGGCACGAAAGCGUGGGGAGCAAACAGGAUUAGAUACCCCAGUAGUC